This 97-nucleotide ribosomal RNA is filed under the name Spirochaetaceae bacterium. The record is from RNAcentral. Lineage: Bacteria; Pseudomonadati; Spirochaetota; Spirochaetia; Spirochaetales; Spirochaetaceae.
GUGUCAUACCCGUUCCCAUCCCGAACACGGAAGUCAAGCCCUUUUACGCCGAUGAUACUGCCCCCCGGAGGGGCGGGAAAGUAGGUAAUCGCCGGGC